Molecule: non-coding RNA, 59 nt
Filed under: Ahrensia marina
Lineage: Bacteria; Pseudomonadati; Pseudomonadota; Alphaproteobacteria; Hyphomicrobiales; Ahrensiaceae
Also listed under: 1 other name
Description: Alpha-proteobacteria SAM riboswitch aptamer
Rfam family: Alpha-proteobacteria SAM riboswitch aptamer
About the family: This family is a riboswitch found predominantly in alpha-proteobacteria that binds S-adenosyl methionine (SAM). This SAM riboswitch is located upstream of the metA and metC genes in Agrobacterium tumefaciens, and other methionine and SAM biosynthesis genes in other alpha-proteobacteria.
Source: Rfam by way of RNAcentral
UGGCCGGUCGGCUUGCAGCCACGUAAAAUAACUUGCUAAAGGGCCGCGCUGUUUAAGCA